Leptopilina boulardi is the source of this 746-nucleotide long non-coding RNA. RefSeq lists it as uncharacterized. NCBI's taxonomy places the organism in Eukaryota, Metazoa, Arthropoda, Insecta, Hymenoptera, Figitidae. The record is from RefSeq and is a predicted model, not a curated record. The transcript is spliced from 5 exons.
CUAACGGUCGAACAUCGUCAAAUGGCUUCUGUUUUGUUGGAUAUUUUUAUAAGUGUCAAGUGCAUUAGUUUCAUUGAAGAAGUUAUUUCAUUUAAGAAGGAAAAGUUAUUAUUGUGUGUGGCAAUUUCGAAGACCAUUUUAUUGUUAGUUCAUCAAUUAUUAUUUCCAAGAUUUUAUUCCUAUCCUGGAUGGCUUGGAGUGUCACGUACGAUAAGGACACAAAAUUCACACAGACUUUUUAAAACUCGGUCUAUUUUUACGGUUAUUUUUCACAUUUUCUGAAUGGAAAUUUAACUUGAAAGUAGGGAUCUCCGAGGGCUAUUUAGUUUGAAACAAUCUUCUUGAAGCUGAAAAUUCGCUAUUAAGGUAUACGAUUCGCUACAAGUAGAACAAUUCUGGGUCAAAUUCCGUUGAUAGGAAUAAAUUUUCCAAAUUCUCAUCAUCAUCAUUAUGGAUAGAAAAGGUGAUUGGAAAUUUAGCAGCGUUACUUAACUUAACCGCGAAUAGCUUCGGGAGUGUUCGAAUUUUCUAAAAUCGCGAUCGAUUAUAAUAAUUAGUGUAAAAAUUUUUUUUUUUUCGUUUUGAAAGUGAUUUCAAGUGGGUUCGUCCUUGAGGAUCUGUUCCAUCAACGGGGGAAAUUCAUAUCGGUCAAGCUGAGGCAUGGAAUGCAGGAAAUAUUUAAAACUACGCAACAAAUAUGGUAAGUUUGUCUUAUUUUUUUUCUCCAAAAUUGCCUGAAAUAUAAA